RNAcentral lists this transfer RNA (76 nucleotides) under Colwelliaceae bacterium. RNAcentral's name for it is "tRNA-Thr". It matches the Rfam family "tRNA". Rfam says of the family: Transfer RNA (tRNA) molecules are approximately 80 nucleotides in length. Their secondary structure includes four short double-helical elements and three loops (D, anti-codon, and T loops). The record is from RNAcentral. Lineage: Bacteria; Pseudomonadati; Pseudomonadota; Gammaproteobacteria; Alteromonadales; Colwelliaceae.
GCCACUAUAGCUCAGUCUUGGUUAGAGUGCAACAUUGGUAAUGUUGAGGUCCCGGGUUCGAAUCCCGGUAGUGGCU